UGGACUGGGGAAUCCCCACUGUAAACUGGAGACUCUGAGACUCACUGGCUGUAAACUCAGAAACACAUCCUGUAAAGUGUUGGCCUCAGUUCUCAGUUCACAGCCGGUUGUGAUACAGCCUGGAUUCAAACCAGGGUGUCUGUAGUGACACCUCAACCACUGAGAUGCAGUGUCUUAGACCACUGCGCCACUCUGAUGAUUAUGAUUCUACAUGGUAUUAUAUGCCGUGGCCUUUACUGGCCAAAGGUUAAACUGCUGUUAUGGUUAUGAUAUACUAUGGUGUUGUGUCACUAGACUUUGACCAGAUAUUAUUGCAUCCAAAGAUCAACUGAACCUAGAAUAUAGAUACAGAGACACUUGUCUUCAGGAAGGUGAUCUCUCAGCACAACGGAAAAUAUCUCAAUGACUUGACAUGUUCUGGUUGUGAAUUCAGGCUACAAGAUUGCUGUACUAACUGACCAGACUGUCUGACCAGCACUGCAUCCUACUGACUGAUAUCUAACCAGCCCAGAGGCUUAAAGAGACAUUAGACUGUCUGACCUACGCUACCCCUUACUGUGAGAGCCACGUCAGGUAGCACUACGUCGUCCCAGCAAUGCAGACACACACCCUGGUCGAGGUCACUGGAGACAUGGGACACAAAGGCCACCAUGGCAACGCUGGAAUGACAAAGAGAAAUCAAGAGGAAAGGGAGACUGAGGAGGAGGAAAGGGGGAGCUUCUGUAAAAAGAUGAAGAUGCAAGUUUUUAAAGUGGAAGACGAUUUUUCUGAGGGAAACUCUGACGAACUGUUGAGGAGGAUAUACGAGCUAGAUCAAAUUAAAAGAAAUAUCUAUAAAGACUUGAAGCAGAAGAACUCAGAACUAAAGAAAACAUCUGAAGAUUUGACGCAGAAGAACUCAGAACUAAAGAACAUCUGAAGAUUUGAAGCAGAAGAACUCAGAACUAAAGAACAUCUGAAGAUUUGAAGCAGAAGAACUCGGAACUAAAGAAAACAUCUGAAGAUUUAAUGAAUAAUGAACAGGACAAUUCAUGCUGUAUAAGUUAAACUCUUAGUAAAGAAGGUGCUACCUAGAACCAUAAUGGUCACUCCAGAGAACUGCACCAGGGUACUACAUUAAUAUGGGAAAAGACUUGCAGGUGUAGGUUAAUUGUACUUCCUGUUGUACUUGUUAUUCUUGCAUUGACAGCCACACUAACACUCUGUUGGCUUCGAGGUUCAGAGUUGAGGGUUUGAUCAUUAGACCUUUGUUAUUCCUAAUGUAUAUCAAUGACCUGCUGGGUCUUCUACCAUACUAAUCUAUAUCAAAUGACCUGCUGGUUCUUCUACCAUACCAUACUAAUCUAUAUCAAUGACCUGCUGGU
This is a long non-coding RNA of Oncorhynchus kisutch (coho salmon), 1364 nucleotides long. RefSeq lists it as uncharacterized. The transcript has 4 exons. Lineage: Eukaryota; Metazoa; Chordata; Actinopteri; Salmoniformes; Salmonidae. The record is from RefSeq and is a predicted model, not a curated record.